CCCACCACAAAAGUCAUCACUCAAAAUCACUAGCUAGUUGUAAUUCCAAUCAUGGCAGACGUGAGGGCAAAAGAGCGGAUGAUACUAGUGGCUGUUGAUGAGGGUGAGGAGAGCUCGUAUGCGUUGACGUGGUGUCUCAAGAACUUAAUUACUCAAAAUUUCAAUGAUACCCUUAUACUCCUCUAUGCUAAACAGUCUCCCAGAGUUGUCUACACUGCAAUGGAUGGAACAGGGUAUUUGUUUUCAUCCGAUAUCUUUAACACCACCAUAGAGAAGUACAAUAAUAACCUAGCUGAUCGUGUUAUAAAAAACACUGAAACAAUGUGUAAAGAACAUUUGCAGAAUAGUAACGUUAAGGUGGAGGCAAGAGUUGUGAAUGGUGAUCCAAGGGACGUUAUUUGUGAGAUGGUAGAGAAGUUGGGCGUUGAUGUUUUGGUGAUGGGAAGCCAUGGUUACGGUUGGAUCAAAAGGGGCUCUGUGGAGUGUUGACAUUAGAGUUGUUGCUCAUCUCUAAACAAACUGCUAAUGCCUUUGCCUCGGAAACUUUGGCCUGUGCAACCAAUCCUUUUCUGAAAUCCAAACAACUGCGAGACAGUUGUUUCCUCUGAAUUCUUCUGCAAUCAAGUUGUCAAGAUCUUUAUCUUCACUUCUUGAUGGGACUGAGCUCUCAUUUCAUGCCAUUGUUACUGAGGUUGCACCAACAUUGUUUAUAACACUUUCAACAAUUCCACAGUUAUCUCAGGUUUCUUUUAUAGGACUGCAUGGUUUGUUGUUUUCAUAUAAUGUUGAUGGGGAUCAAACUCUUGCAGUAUAUUCGAAUACCUUGUUUUCUUCGACUUGGUAUACUCAACCGGUGAAUUGCAACACUGGGGCAUUAUAUGGCACUGCAGUUUCUUCGAAAUCUAUGUUUUCUGUAAAUGCAAGUUGGUUUCAGGAAGCUUUGAAGAGUACUGCUGCGCAUUCUUCCUUCAUUAAGGAAAGGAUGGAACAAUGCGGCAGAAGAUAGCUUAUUUUAUAACACGGUUUCUUUGUAUGGUAGGGGUGUUAUAUCAUUAUAUGCCUUGGUUUUCCAGCAAAAGUAGUAUAUGAACGAUUCGCAGCAUUGGACUUUCAUUGAGGGGAUUUUCAUUUGGCCACUAGUGAUGGGCAAGGCAUGAUGUUCGCGCUUCAUUAGCUACUAUUACUGGCUUGGUGGAGCUUUGUCAUGAAGAAGCCAAUCCUUAGACUGAUUUGGCAGAAAAUUCUGUUUUCGAAGAAUUUGUUCAAGUCAAGGAAACUGCUCUUGGAAAGGAAGGCAUUGGUUUAGGACUUGGCAUCGUUCAGUCUAUGGUAAGUAACAUAUUGGAAAUAUAUAUGAUGAACUAAUAUUGUUGCAUUUUUCCAUUGUUGACAUUGUGCUAUAGGUACAUCUGAUGAAAGGAGAAAUAACAAUUGUUGAGAAAGAACAUGGUGAAAGAGGCGCUUGCUUCAAGUUUAAUGUUCUCCUAACUUUAUGCAAGAGCCAGCCAAUUGACACUAGUGAAGAACAUCUUAGAGCAAAUAAUGAUUGGCCUCAAUCUGGAUUUCAUCAACAUCUAGCAUCAUUUUGGAGCCCUGCACCUAAACAAGAGGGAUCUCACAUCAUACUUUUUAUAACAGGUGAAGAACGAAGACAAGUCUUGAAGAGGUACAUCGAGAACAACUUAAACAUCAGAGUAACAAUUGUAAGGCAAGAGAAAAUGCUUUACCAGGAGCUAAAGAAGAUAAAGCACAAGAUGGAUCCUUCUAGUCCAGGGAAACUUGAGACAAAUGUACUUGAUAUGUGGACUGCAUCAAGCAACCCUGGUAAAGGACCAAGUGAUGGGACUCAAGGCAUUAUUCAAGAGGGAGGUGACAAUGUUUUGCCGUACUUUUGAAAGACAAACUCGAAAAAUUUCUCAAGUUUUACACUAGUAGUGAUCGAUGCCAGUGCUGCCUCUACAUCUGAAUUGUUCAAAACUUUGUCCAACUUCAUAAAAGAAAUUCCUAGCUUUUCAUGCAAGUUUGUCUGGUUAGAUAGUUCAAUCAUGCGAAAUUCUCAUUUAAGAGAACACCAGGAGGACAAACUAGUCGUCCCAUGUGAUUAUGUCAUAAAGAAGCCAUUUCAUGGUUCACGUUUGAUUGAAGUGAUGAGGCUUCUACCUGAAUGCAAGAGUACAUCCCAGCACAGCUUCCGAAAGUUAAAGAUGGGAUCAAUAUCUCAAGAAGUAGUUCAGCCUUCCUCAGAUCCCAAUCCUGCAUCAUCCAAGUGCCUAAAAGUGGAGAGAGGAGCUGCUACUUCUUCACCUUACACCUCAAUAGAGCAGACAGUUUUGUAUAGUGAUGGUAUGAGCAAGAAGAAGCCACUGAGUGGGAAGAAAAUUCUGAUAGUUGAAGAUGCUGCAACAAUGAUCAAGCUGACAACUACUAGAAUAAGUAAACUUGGAGCAAAGGUUGAAGUAUGCAGAAAUGGGAAAGAGGCAUUUGAUCAUGUUUGCAAGAUUUUAAGUCAUCUAAGAAUGGAAGGGCAUUCCAAGACUCUUCUUCCUUACGAUUAUAUCAUUAUGGAUUGUGAGAUGCCAGUAAUGGAUGGAUUUGAAGCAACAAGGCUGAUCAGAAAGGAGGAAGAAGAAUAAAACGUGCAUAUUCCAAUAAUAGCAUUGACAAAACAUGCAGCAACUGGAGAAGAAAGCAGGAUUGCUAAUGCUGGAAUGGAUUUUCAUCUCACAAAACCAUUGCAAGAAGAUGAGUUGUUAGAUGUAAUUUACUCCAUUGAUGAGAAAUGGAAAAACAUUUCCAAAUAGCAAGCUUAAGUACAUACACAUUGUAAUUGUGAAUUCCCAAAUUUUUAAAUGUCCAGAGCAGUUUUUGGUUA
Mangifera indica (mango) is the source of this 2872-nucleotide RNA transcript. It is a transcript of the gene named histidine kinase CKI1-like, with no coding region annotated. Lineage: Eukaryota; Viridiplantae; Streptophyta; Magnoliopsida; Sapindales; Anacardiaceae. The record is from RefSeq and is a predicted model, not a curated record. The transcript is spliced from 6 exons.